RNAcentral lists this ribosomal RNA (787 nucleotides) under uncultured bacterium. RNAcentral's name for it is "bacterial SSU rRNA". It matches the Rfam family "Bacterial small subunit ribosomal RNA", at positions 51 to 842 of the family's 1533-position model. The record is from RNAcentral.
ACACAUGCAAGUCGAGGGGUAGGCAUCUUCGGAUGUUGAGACCGGCGCACGGGUGCGUAACGCGUAUGCAAUCUACCUUAUACUAAGGGAUAGCCCAGAGAAAUUUGGAUUAAUACCUUAUGGUUAAUAGAGUUGGCAUCGACUUUAUUAUAAAGAUUUAUUGGUAUAAGAUGAGCAUGCGUCCCAUUAGUUAGUUGGUAAGGUAACGGCUUACCAAGACGAUGAUGGGUAGGGGUCCUGAGAGGGAGAUCCCCCACACUGGUACUGAGACACGGACCAGACUCCUACGGGAGGCAGCAGUGAGGAAUAUUGGUCAAUGGAGGCAACUCUGAACCAGCCAUGCCGCGUGCAGGAUGAAGCAUCUAUGGUGUGUAAACUGCUUUUGUACGGGAAGAAAAAACAUUACGUGUAAUGUACUGACGGUACCGUAAGAAUAAGGAUCGGCUAACUCCGUGCCAGCAGCCGCGGUAAUACGGAGGAUCCAAGCGUUAUCCGGAAUCAUUGGGUUUAAAGGGUCCGUAGGCGGCUAUAUAAGUCAGCGGUGAAAGUUUUUGGCUUAACCAAAAAAUUGCCAUUGAUACUGUAUGGCUUGAAUUAUUGUGAAGUAACUAGAAUAUGUAGUGUAGCGGUGAAAUGCUUAGAUAUUACAUGGAAUACCAAUUGCGAAGGCAGGUUACUAACAAUAUAUUGACGCUGAUGGACGAAAGCGUGGGUAGCGAACAGGAUUAGAUACCCUGGUAGUCCACGCCGUAAACGAUGGAUACUAGCUGUUUGGUUGUAAGACUGA